GGGGGGAGGCCAGAUCCUGGGCUGUGUCCACGGCGCCCUGCACUCCCGGGCCUGUGUGUUAGAUUCCCGCUCCUGAUGGUGCAGCCCCUU
Molecule: microRNA precursor, 90 nt
Filed under: Canis lupus familiaris (dog)
Lineage: Eukaryota; Metazoa; Chordata; Mammalia; Carnivora; Canidae
Also listed under: 1 other name
Description: mir-8799 microRNA precursor family
Rfam family: mir-8799 microRNA precursor family
Source: Rfam by way of RNAcentral